UUAACUCGAAUUUGUAUGGUAUUGGAACGUUUGCCUACGUUUUUCUAUUUUUUUUGUUGCUUAGCUUGGGGCGCUGUUCCAACUCCAUACAAAUUUGAUUAA
RNAcentral lists this microRNA precursor (102 nucleotides) under Bombyx mori (domestic silkworm). RNAcentral describes it as "mir-2807 microRNA precursor family". It matches the Rfam family "mir-2807 microRNA precursor family". The record is from Rfam by way of RNAcentral. Lineage: Eukaryota; Metazoa; Arthropoda; Insecta; Lepidoptera; Bombycidae.